RNAcentral lists this signal recognition particle RNA (272 nucleotides) under Candidatus Woesearchaeota archaeon. RNAcentral describes it as "signal recognition particle sRNA". It matches the Rfam family "Archaeal signal recognition particle RNA". Lineage: Archaea; Nanobdellati; Candidatus Woesearchaeota. The record is from RNAcentral.
UUGUAGGCUAGGCUGGGUGUUUAGGCCGCACCUGUAACUGCAAACGGUCUUUAGCAGGGUUGAAGCUUUGAGGGCGGUAUGAUGGUUUGGAAUGGUCCUGGCAACUACUUUGAUACUCUGUCCCGAUUGGCUUAUACUUAUGUGAACUAGAUCAGGUGGGGAACCAAGCAGUCUUAAGCUUUCGUGUGGGUGCUUUUGGGGUUGCGGGGUUGAGGAACGGUUAGGGUUAUACUUUUCUGGGUCAUUGUAUCCACCUUGAAGCAUGCCUACUU